This 253-nucleotide ribosomal RNA is filed under the name uncultured bacterium. RNAcentral describes it as "partial 16S ribosomal RNA". It matches the Rfam family "Bacterial small subunit ribosomal RNA", at positions 524 to 776 of the family's 1533-position model. The record is from RNAcentral.
UACGUAGGGUGCAAGCGUUGUCCGGAAUUAUUGGGCGUAAAGAGCUCGUAGGCGGUUUGUCGCGUCUGCUGUGAAAACUCGGGGCUUAACUCCGGGCCUGCAGUGGAUACGAGCAGACUAGAGUGCGGUAGGGGAGACUGGAAUUCCUGGUGUAGCGGUGAAAUGCGCAGAUAUCAGGAGGAACACCGGUGGCGAAGGCGGGUCUCUGGGCCGUAACUGACGCUGAGGAGCGAAAGCGUGGGGAGCGAACAGG